RNAcentral lists this long non-coding RNA (12501 nucleotides) under Daucus carota (carrot). Its description in RNAcentral is "long non-coding RNA (DCAR_LNC003394)". The record is from RNAcentral. Lineage: Eukaryota; Viridiplantae; Streptophyta; Magnoliopsida; Apiales; Apiaceae.
AAGUGCUCCUCAACAGUGGCUGUCAAGAGAUGAGAUCUGGAUGGUAAGCUGAUGGAACGAGAAUGAGCACUAACUUUUGUGGUUGCAAUUGAGGCUGCCAUUUUUAUUUGCAGGAGGAAUUAGAUGCCAAUGAAAAUCCUGAACUCAAGGUUUGUUUGAUUGAACUCUCACCUUGGCACCUUUUUAUAAACUAUGAGGAGACAAAAGGAAUCAACUUAAUUUCCUUCAUGUGCCGAACAGAGAAACAGGCCAAGGUAACUAGGGGCUGAGGGCAAAACAGGCUAGAAUAGGGAUUAGUGACUCGGGUUGACCUAGCAAUGCAGUUUGUAAAAUUUUGUGUGUGAUUACUAUAUUAUAGUUUGAUUAUAUAUCUGGAUGAUCUGAAUUUUAAAGCUAUUUGCACUCAAAUCGCAAUUAAUCUUCUGUGUAUGUUUAUAUUAAUAUGAAUUGCCACCCGGAUCCGGUCUACUUCUAGUUUACAUUAGAUAGAUAAUUACAGUAUUGAUUGCGAGAAAAGAAUUGGGGACGGGUAUAACUCCUUUUUUUGACCCUGCACUGCGUUCUUAUUUGCGGUUUUGGGAUAUGUGAUGGGUAUGAGAAGGAUCCUGUUGCAGAAAUAUAUAUAUUUUGCAAAUUGUGUUGUUGAUGAAAUAUACGCGAAACCGAAUAUUGACUUUAAACAGUUGUUUUCGCAAUCUUUCUCGUUGAUAAUAUACUAGCUUCACAUACAGUCUGUACUCAUGUAUGUACAAAAACUGAUCCCUCACAAAAAUUCGGGGAUGCAGUAAUAGUCUAUCUAAUAGACAAUUCUGUUGGAAAAGAACUAGUGGUUGAGCACAUUGAGAAUUAAUACUCGUGUCUUGAUCAAUGAUCGGACUAGACAGUCUAAUUGUUCUUCACAUUCUUGCAUAUUCAUGUCCAAUGCCGUCAGACAUUUCUGAACGUCUUCUGUUUCUGUGAUAUCACUUUUUUUGCUUGAUUUCUUGCUGAUAGCUUCUAAAGCCAUAUCCAUGUUGUGAACUUGGUUGAUAAUUUCUUCUGUGUCCUCUUCACAAUGUACACGCUUGGACUGUGUUGACUUGAAAACCUUUGACCAUGUGCUUUUUGUCGAUGCUUCCUUUGCAGGACAGAUGGAUGAGAAGAUAGACUCGAAAACUGAGAUGCUGACUUCUUCGACUUCCCUUAGAAGGCUCACGAUAGCAGGAGUCUCGAUGCUUUUGUUAAUUUUGGACUUCUUAGAACCAGCAAAGCACUUGGAGAGCAUUCUGUUUGCCUUUUUCUUACAUACCAGGUAGCUUGCGAUUCUGCUUGAUACAUCAGUUUGUCUUCUACGUAGAGAGGAUUCUAGAUCUUGAACUGAAUCUCUCAUAUGCGAGAGAGCAUCUUUUGAGGUGCUGCACAGAUCCAAUAACCUAAUGGACCCGCAAAGAAUAUCUUCUCCGCAGCUCAAACGAUCUUGCUGUGCGGCUUGCGAUUGGAUCAAAUCUUCUACACACUCAUAUAAGUCUUGAAGAGCGGAUAAUUUGUCGCAUUUGGAUACUGUCGAUGAGGAUGCCCCUUCCGGGGUCCUUAAUCUGCACAAGUGCUCCUCAACAGUGGCUGUCAAGGGAUGAGAUCUGGAUGGUAAGCUGAUGGAACGAGAAUGAGCACUAACUUUUGUGGUUGCAAUUGAGGCUGCCAUUUUUAUUUGCAGGAGGAAUUAGAUGCCAAUGAAAAUCCUGAACUCAAGGUUUGUUUGAUUGAACUCUCACCUUGGCACCUUUUUAUAAACUAUGAGGAGACAAAAGGAAUCAACCUAAUUUCCUUCAUGUGCUGAACAGAGAAACAGGCCAAGUAUCAGAAAAUGCAGAUCUCAAUUGUAGCAGUGUCUGUGGGAGGAGGAACAUUUGCUUGGCACAAAAUAAUAUAAUAUGCAAGAAACCAGGCUGGCGUUCAUCUGCAAAUUUUGGUAAGUUUUCUAAUAUGAAAACAAGUUAAGACCAGGGGUAUAAUUUUGCAUCUCAUGUGUUAUAUAUUAAAGUUGUCUUGAAAUUCAUAUACAUUGCAUUAUUUUUUGCAUCUUGUUGUUAGACAUGUUGUAUAUUAUUGUUAAGUAAAACAGCGCAUGAAUGGCUUGGCAUUUUUUUUAUGCAUAGAAUUAGUGAGGGCCUUUAUUGCUCCAUUCGGUCUCUAGCGAUGCAGAGCUGAACACUUGAGAUCUGUCAUUAUGUGUACUGGGUAGACAGAAGGAAUCUGAACAGCCUGCAGUCAGUUUGCAAGAACCAUUAAGGUGUGACUAGGUGUCCUGGUAACUAGGGGCUGAGGGCAAAACAGGCUAGAAUAGGGAUUAGUGACUCGGGUUGACCGAGCAAUGCAGUUUGUAAAAUUUUGUGUGUGAUUACUAUAUUAUAGUUUGAUUAUAUAUCUGGAUGAUCUGAAUUUUAAAGCUACUUGCACUCAAAUCGCAAUUAAUCUUCUGUGUAUGUUUAUAUUAAUAUGAAUUGCCACCCGGAUCCGGUCUACUUCUAGUUCACAUUAGAUAGAUAAUUACAGUAUUGAUUGCCAGAAAAGAAUUGGGGACGGGUAUAACUCCUUUUUUUGACCCUGCACUGCGUUCUUAUCUGCGGUUUUGGGAUAGUGUGAUGGGUAUGAGAAGGAUCCUGCUGCAGAAAUAUAUAUAUUUUGCAAAUUGUGUUGUUGAUGAAAUAUACGCGAAACUGAAUAUUGACUUUAAACAGUUGUUUUCGCAAUCUUUCUCGUUGAUAAUAUACUAGCUUCAUAUACAGUCUGUCCUCAUGUAUGUACAAAAACUGAUCCCUCACAAAAAUUCGGGGAUGCAGUAACAGUCUAUCUAAUAUACAGUUCUGUUGGAAAAGAACUAGUGGUUGAGCACAUUGAGAAUUAAUACUCGUGUCUUGAUCAAUGAUCGGACUAGACAGUCUAAUUGUUCUUCACAUUCUUGCAUAUUCAUGUCCAAUGCCGUCAGACAUUUCUGAACGUCUUGUGUUUCUGUGAUAUCACUUUUUUUGCUUGAUUUCUUGCUGAUAGCUUCUAAAGCCAUAUCCAUGUUGUGAACUUGGUUGAUAAUUUCUUCUGUGUCCUCUUCACAAUGUACACGCUUGGACUGUGUUGACUUGAAAACCUUUGACCAUGUGCUUUUUGUCGAUGCUUCCUUUGCAGGACAGAUGGAUGAGAAGAUAGACUCGAAAACUGAGAUGCUGACUUCUUCGACUUCCCUUAGAAGGCUCACGAUAGCAGGAGUCUCGAUGCUUUUGUUAAUUUUGGACUUCUUAGAACCAGCAAAGCACUUGGAGAGCAUUCUGUUUGCCUUUUUCUUACAUACCAGGUAGCUUGCGAUUCUGCUUGAUACAUCAGUUUGUCUUCUACGUAGAGAGGAUUCUAGAUCUUGAACUGAAUCUCUCAUAUGCGAGAGAGCAUCUUUUGAGGUGCUGCACAGAUCCAAUAACCUAAUGGACCCGCAAAGAAUAUCUUCUCCGCAGCUCAAACGAUCUUGCUGUGCGGCUUGCGAUUGGAUCAAAUCUUCUACACACUCAUAUAAGUCUUGAAGAGCGGAUAAUUUGUCGCAUUUGGAUACUGUCGAUGAGGAUGUCCCUUCCGGGGUCCUUAAUCUGCACAAGUGCUCCUCAACAGUGGCUGUCAAGAGAUGAGAUCUGGAUGGUAAGCUGAUGGAACGAGAAUGAGCACUAACUUUUGUGGUUGCAAUUGAGGCUGCCAUUUUUAUUUGCAGGAGGAAUUAGAUGCCAAUGAAAAUCCUGAACUCAAGGUUUGUUUGAUUGAACUCUCACCUUGGCACCUUUUUAUAAACUAUGAGGAGACAAAAGGAAUCAACUUAAUUUCCUUCAUGUGCCGAACAGAGAAACAGGCCAAGUAUCAGAAAAUGCAGAUCUCAAUUGUAGCAGUGUCUGUGGGAGGAGGAACAUUUGCUUGGCACAAAAUAAUAUAAUAUGCAAGAAACCAGGCUGGCGUUCAUCUGCAAAUUUUGGUAAGUUUUCUAAUAUGAAAACAAGUUAAGACCAGGGGUAUAAUUUUGCAUCUCAUGUGUCAUAUAUUAAAGUUGUCUUGAAAUUCAUAUACAUUGCAUUAUUUUUUGCAUCUUGUUGUUAGACAUGUUGUAUAUUAUUGUUAAGUAAAACAGCGCAUGAAUGGCUUGGCAUUUUUUUUAUGCAUAGAAUUAGUGAGGGCCUUUAUUGCUCCAUUCGGUCUCUAGCGAUGCAGAGCUGAACACUUGAGAUCUGUCAUUAUGUGUACUGGGUAGACAGAAGGAAUCUGAACAGCCUGCAGUCAGUUUGCAAGAACCAUUAAGGUGUGACUAGGUGUCCUGGUAACUAGGGGCUGAGGGCAAAACAGGCUAGAAUAGGGAUUAGUGACUCGGGUUGACCUAGCAAUGCAGUUUGUAAAAUUUUGUGUGUGAUUACUAUAUUAUAGUUUGAUUAUAUAUCUGGAUGAUCUGAAUUUUAAAGCUAUUUGCACUCAAAUCGCAAUUAAUCUUCUGUGUAUGUUUAUAUUAAUAUGAAUUGCCACCCGGAUCCGGUCUACUUCUAGUUUACAUUAGAUAGAUAAUUACAGUAUUGAUUGCCAGAAAAGAAUUGGGGACGGGUAUAACUCCUUUUUUUGACCCUGCACUGCGUUCUUAUUUGCGGUUUUGGGAUAGUGUGAUGGGUAUGAGAAGGAUCCUGCUGCAGAAAUAUAUAUAUUUUGCAAAUUGUGUUGUUGAUGAAAUAUACGCGAAACUGAAUAUUGACUUUAAACAGUGAAACCAGGCUGGCGUUCAUCUGCAAAUUUUGGUAAGUUUUCUAAUAUGAAAAUAAGUUAAGACCAGGGGUAUAAUUUUGCAUCUCAUGUGUCAUAUAUUAAAGUUGUCUUGAAAUUCAUAUACAUUGCUUUAUUUUUUGCAUCUUGUUGUUAGACAUGUUGUAUAUUAUUGUUAAGUAAAACAGCGCAUGAAUGGCUUGGCAUUUUUUUUAUGCAUAGAAUUAGUGAGGGCCUUUAUUGCUCCAUUCGGUCUCUAGCGAUGCAGAGCUGAACACUUGAGAUCUGCCAUUAUGUGUACUGGGUAGACAGAAGGAAUCUGAACAGCCUGCAAUCAGUUUGCAAGAACCAUUAAGGUGUGACUAGGUGUCCUGGUAACUAGGGGCUGAGGGCAAAACAGGCUAGAAUAGGGAUUAGUGACUCGGGUUGACCUAGCAAUGCAGUUUGUAAAAUUUUGUGUGUGAUUACUAUAUUAUAGUUUGAUUAUAUAUCUGGAUGAUCUGAAUUUUAAAGCUAUUUGCACUCAAAUCGCAAUUAAUCUUCUGUGUAUGUUUAUAUUAAUAUGAACUGCCACCCGGAUCCGGUCUACUUCUCGUUUACAUUAGAUAGAUAAUUACAGUAUUGAUUGCCAGAAAAGAAUUGGGGACGGGUAUAACUCCUUUUUUUGACCCUGCACUGCGUUCUUAUCUGCGGUUUUGGGAUAGUGUGAUGGGUAUGAGAAGGAUCCUGCUGCAGAAAUAUAUAUAUUUUGCAAAUUGUGUUGUUGAUGAAAUAUACGCGAAACUGAAUAUUGACUUUAAACAGUUGUUUUCGCAAUCUUUCUCGUUGAUAAUAUACUAGCUUCAUAUACAGUCUGUCCUCAUGUAUGUACAAAAACUGAUCCCUCACAAAAAUUCGGGGAUGCAGUAACAGUCUAUCUAAUAUACAGUUCUGUUGGGAAAGAACUAGUGGUUGAGCACAUUGAGAAUUAAUACUCGUGUCUUGAUCAAUGAUCGGACUAGACAGUCUAAUUGUUCUUCACAUUCUUGCAUAUUCAUGUCCAAUGCCGUCAGACAUUUCUGAACGUCUUGUGUUUGUGUGAUAUCACUUUUUUUGCUUGAUUUCUUGCUGAUAGCUUCUAAAGCCAUAUCCAUGUUGUGAACUUGGUUGAUAAUUUCUUCUGUGUCCUCUUCACAAUGUACACGCUUGGACUGUGUUGACUUGAAAACCUUUGACCAUGUGCUUUUUGUCGAUGCUUCCUUUGCAGGACAGAUGGAUGAGAAGAUAGACUCGAAAACUGAGAUGCUGACUUCUUCGACUUCCCUUAGAAGGCUCACGAUAGCAGGAGUCUCGAUGCUUUUGUUAAUUUUGGACUUCUUAGAACCAGCAAAGCACUUGGAGAGCAUUCUGUUUGCCUUUUUCUUACAUACCAGGUAGCUUGCGAUUCUGCUUGAUACAUCAGUUUGUCUUCUACGUAGAGAGGAUUCUAGAUCUUGAACUGAAUCUCUCAUAUGCGAGAGAGCAUCUUUUGAGGUGCUGCACAGAUCCAAUAACCUAAUGGACCCGCAAAGAAUAUCUUCUCCGCAGCUCAAACGAUCUUGCUGUGCGGCUUGCGAUUGGAUCAAAUCUUCUACACACUCAUAUAAAUCUUGAAGGGCGGAUAAUUUGUCGCAUUUGGAUACUGUCGAUGAGGAUGUCCCUUCCGGGGUCCUUAAUCUGCACAAGUGCUCCUCAACAGUGGCUGUCAAGAGAUGAGAUCUGGAUGGUAAGCUGAUGGAACGAGAAUGAGCACUAACUUUUGUGGUUGCAAUUGAGGCUGCCAUUUUUAUUUGCAGGAGGAAUUAGAUGCCAAUGAAAAUCCUGAACUCAAGGUUUGUUUGAUUGAACUCUCACCUUGGCACCUUUUUAUAAACUAUGAGGAGACAAAAGGAAUCAACCUAAUUUCCUUCAUUUGCUGAACAGAGAAAGAGGCCAAGUAUCAGAAAAUGCAGAUCUCAAUUGUAGCAGUGUCUGUGGGAGGAGGAACAUUUGCUUGGCACAAAAUAAUAUAAUAUGCAAGAAACCAGGCUGGCGUUCAUCUGCAAAUUUUGGUAAGUUUUCUAAUAUGAAAACAAGUUAAGACCAGGGGUAUAAUUUUGCAUCUCAUGUGUUAUAUAUUAAAGUUGUCUUGAAAUUCAUAUACAUUGCAUUAUUUUUUGCAUCUUGUUGUUAGACAUGUUGUAUAUUAUUGUUAAGUAAAACAGCGCAUGAAUGGCUUGGCAUUUUUUUUAUGCAUAGAAUUAGUGAGGGCCUUUAUUGCUCCAUUCGGUCUCUAGCGAUGCAGAGCUGAACACUUGAGAUCUGUCAUUAUGUGUACUGGGUAGACAGAAGGAAUCUGAACAGCCUGCAGUCAGUUUGCAAGAACCAUUAAGGUGUGACUAGGUGUCCUGGUAACUAGGGGCUGAGGGCAAAACAGGCUAGAAUAGGGAUUAGUGACUCGGGUUGACCCAGCAAUGCAGUUUGUAAAAUUUUGUGUGUGAUUACUAUAUUAUAGUUUGAUUAUAUAUCUGGAUGAUCUGAAUUUUAAAGCUAUUUGCACUCAAAUCGCAAUUAAUCUUCUGUGUAUGUUUAUAUUAAUAUGAAUUGCCACCCGGAUCCGGUCUACUUCUAGUUCACAUUAGAUAGAUAAUUACAGUAUUGAUUGCCAGAAAAGAAUUGGGGACGGGUAUAACUCCUUUUUUUGACCCUGCACUGCGUUCUUAUAUGCGGUUUUGGGAUAGUGUGAUGGGUAUGAGAAGGAUCCUGCUGCAGAAAUAUAUAUAUUUUGCAAAUUGUGGUGUUGAUGAAAUAUACGCGAAACUGAAUAUUGACUUUAAACAGUUGUUUUCGCAAUCUUUCUCGUUGAUAAUAUACUAGCUUCAUAUACAGUCUGUCCUCAUGUAUGUACAAAAACUGAUCCCUCACAAAAAUUCGGGGAUGCAGUAACAGUCUAUCUAAUAUACAGUUCUGUUGGGAAAGAACUAGUGGUUGAGCACAUUGAGAAUUAAUACUCGUGUCUUGAUCAAUGAUCGGACUAGACAGUCUAAUUGUUCUUCACAUUCUUGCAUAUUCAUGUCCAAUGCCGUCAGACAUUUCUGAACGUCUUGUGUUUCUGUGAUAUCACUUUUUUUGCUUGAUUUCUUGCUGAUAGCUUCUAAAGCCAUAUCCAUGUUGUGAACUUGGUUGAUAAUUUCUUCUGUGUCCUCUUCACAAUGUACACGCUUGGACUGUGUUGACUUGAAAACCUUUGACCAUGUGCUUUUUGUCGAUGCUUCCUUUGCAGGACAGAUGGAUGAGAAGAUAGACUCGAAAACUGAGAUGCUGACUUCUUCGACUUCCCUUAGAAGGCUCACGAUAGCAGGAGUCUCGAUGCUUUUGUUAAUUUUGGACUUCUUAGAACCAGCAAAGCACUUGGAGAGCAUUCUGUUUGCCUUUUUCUUACAUACCAGGUAGCUUGCGAUUCUGCUUGAUACAUCAGUUUGUCUUCUACGUAGAGAGGAUUCUAGAUCUUGAACUGAAUCUCUCAUAUGCGAGAGAGCAUCUUUUGAGGUGCUGCACAGAUCCAAUAACCUAAUGGACCCGCAAAGAAUAUCUUCUCCGCAGCUCAAACGAUCUUGCUGUGCGGCUUGCGAUUGGAUCAAAUCUUCUACACACUCAUAUAAGUCUUGAAGAGCGGAUAAUUUGUCGCAUUUGGAUACUGUCGAUGAGGAUGUCCCUUCCGGGGUCCUUAAUCUGCACAAGUGCUCCUCAACAGUGGCUGUCAAGGGAUGAGAUCUGGAUGGUAAGCUGAUGGAACGAGAAUGAGCACUAACUUUUGUGGUUGCAAUUGAGGCUGCCAUUUUUAUUUGCAGGAGGAAUUAGAUGCCAAUGAAAAUCCUGAACUCAAGGUUUGUUUGAUUGAACUCUCACCUUGGCACCUUUUUAUAAACUAUGAGGAGACAAAAGGAAUCAACCUAAUUUCCUUCAUGUGCUGAACAGAGAAACAGGCCAAGUAUCAGAAAAUGCAGAUCUCAAUUGUAGCAGUGUCUGUGGGAGGAGGAACAUUUGCUUGGCACAAAAUAAUAUAAUAUGCAAGAAACCAGGCUGGCGUUCAUCUGCAAAUUUUGGUAAGUUUUCUAAUAUGAAAACAAGUUAAGACCAGGGGUAUAAUUUUGCAUCUCAUGUGUUAUAUAUUAAAGUUGUCUUGAAAUUCAUAUACAUUGCAUUAUUUUUUGCAUCUUGUUGUUAGACAUGUUGUAUAUUAUUGUUAAGUAAAACAGCGCAUGAAUGGCUUGGCAUUUUUUUUAUGCAUAGAAUUAGUGAGGGCCUUUAUUGCUCCAUUCGGUCUCUAGCGAUGCAGAGCUGAACACUUGAGAUCUGUCAUUAUGUGUACUGGGUAGACAGAAGGAAUCUGAACAGCCUGCAGUCAGUUUGCAAGAACCAUUAAGGUGUGACUAGGUGUCCUGGUAACUAGGGGCUGAGGGCAAAACAGGCUAGAAUAGGGAUUAGUGACUCGGGUUGACCUAGCAAUGCAGUUUGUAAAAUUUUGUGUGUGAUUACUAUAUUAUAGUUUGAUUAUAUAUCUGGAUGAUCUGAAUUUUAAAGCUAUUUGCACUCAAAUCGCAAUUAAUCUUCUGUGUAUGUUUAUAUUAAUAUGAAUUGCCACCCGGAUCCGGUCUACUUCUAGUUUACAUUAGAUAGAUAAUUACAGUAUUGAUUGCCAGAAAAGAAUUGGGGAAGGGUAUAACUCCUUUUUAGACCCUGCACUGCGUUCUUAUUUGCGGUUUUGGGAUAGUGUGAUGGGUAUGAGCAGGAUCCUGCUGCAGAAAUAUAUAUAUUUUGCAAAUUGUGUUGUUGAUGAAAUAUACGCGAAACUGAAUAUUGACUUUAAACAGUCGUUUUCGCAAUCUUUCUCGUUGAUAAUAUACUAGCUUCAUAUACAGUCUGUCCUCAUGUAUGUACAAAAACUGAUCCCUCACAAAAAUUCGGGGAUGCAGUAACAGUCUAUCUAAUAUACAGUUCUGUUGGAAAAGAACUAGUGGUUGAGCACAUUGAGAAUUAAUACUCGUGUCUUGAUCAAUGAUCGGACUAGACAGUCUAAUUGUUCUUCACAUUCUUGCAUAUUCAUGUCCAAUGCCGUCAGACAUUUCUGAACGUCUUGUGUUUCUGUGAUAUCACUUUUUUUGCUUGAUUUCUUGCUGAUAGCUUCUAAAGCCAUAUCCAUGUUGUGAACUUGGUUGAUAAUUUCUUCUGUGUCCUCUUCACAAUGUACACGCUUGGACUGUGUUGACUUGAAAACCUUUGACCAUGUGCUUUUUGUCGAUGCUUCCUUUGCAGGACAGAUGGAUGAGAAGAUAGACUCGAAAACUGAGAUGCUGACUUCUUCGACUUCCCUUAGAAGGCUCACGAUAGCAGGAGUCUCGAUGCUUUUGUUAAUUUUGGACUUCUUAGAACCAGCAAAGCACUUGGAGAGCAUUCUGUUUGCCUUUUUCUUACAUACCAGGUAGCUUGCGAUUCUGCUUGAUACAUCAGUUUGUCUUCUACGUAGAGAGGAUUCUAGAUCUUGAACUGAAUCUCUCAUAUGCGAGAGAGCAUCUUUUGAGGUGCUGCACAGAUCCAAUAACCUAAUGGACCCGCAAAGAAUAUCUUCUCCGCAGCUCAAACGAUCUUGCUGUGCGGCUUGCGAUUGGAUCAAAUCUUCUACACACUCAUAUAAGUCUUGAAGAGCGGAUAAUUUGUCGCAUUUGGAUACUGUCGAUGAGGAUGUCCCUUCCGGGGUCCUUAAUCUGCACAAGUGCUCCUCAACAGUGGCUGUCAAGGGAUGAGAUCUGGAUGGUAAGCUGAUGGAACGAGAAUGAGCACUAACUUUUGUGGUUGCAAUUGAGGCUGCCAUUUUAUUUGCAGGAGGAAUUAGAUGCCAAUGAAAAUCCUAAACUCAAGGUUUGUUUGAUUGAACUCUCACGUUGGCACCUUUUUAUAAACUAUGAGGAGACAAAAGGACUCAACCUAAUUUCCUUCAUGUGCUGAACAGAGAAACAGGCCAAGUAUCAGAAAAUGCAGAUCUCAAUUGUAGCAGUGUCUGUGGGAGGAGGAACAUUUGCUUGGCUUAAAUUAAUAAUGGACCAGGCUGGCGAUCAUCUUCAAAUUUUGGUAAGUUUAUUGAUAUGAAGAUAAAAUGAGACAAUGCGUAUAAUUUGUCCAUUGGUAUGUUAUAUAUAAAAGCUGUCUUCCUAUCCAUGUACAUUGCAUCAUUUGUCUCAUCUUGUUACAAAUGUUAAUAUUAGAAAAUACAACCGUGCUUGAAUGGCUUGGAUAUUUUAUCAGAGAAUUGGAGGGGGCCUUUAUUGUUGCAUGUGAUUUUUAACUAUGCAGAAAUGAACUCUUAUGAUCUGUCUUUAAUUAUGUUGGCUGGACUGGAGGAAUCGGUAGAGCCUGCAAUUAGUCCUUAAAAUGAUAUAUGCAGGUCAUUAUUUAUUAUUAAGAAUUAAAAAGAGGUUAGAGCAGGGACCAGUCAGAUAGUUGACCUAGUGUUGCAGUUCACAAAGUUGUGGAAGUACAAUAUUUGAGCUUUGGUUAUUAAUAUCUGUUAUUUUCUUGCUAAAACUAUUUUGCUGCAUAAUAUCCGUGACUUUUAUCUAGGAAACUCUGUCUAUAUGUAUUAUAUUAUGCUUUUUAACACGAUUCCUGCCUAGCUCAUGUUUUACUGCUAAUGGAAAGUUGCUGUCUGAAUCUGCAAAUAAAAAAGAAAGAAUAUUAAGUACCAUUGUAUAAUUGCCUUGCAACUUUUUUAUUAUUAUUAACGAUUGAUUAAAAAGGGACAAACUAAUUCCGCAAAUGGUAGACUUUUUUUAUCUUUUUUGAAGAAAAUCGAAACUUGAUAUGCAAUCAUCGUUGCAUAAUCUUUUCACUUUAAUUUUACUAUAAGUCAUGUAUAGUUUCUAUAUAUUCAUUUACAUCAACUCUUUUGUCACAAUUUUUUGGAUGCAGUACAAUACCACAAUCCUACCUAAUAUAAGGUUGUUUUUAGAAAGAAUUGGUUGAGCACAUUCGAUCAGACAUCUCUAGAUGUAUCGUGCUCCUGAUGCCAUUUCUUAUUCUUUUGAAUUUCCGAGCCAUGUCCAUUUUUUGAAUUUGCUCGAAAUUUUGUCUCUGUCCACUUGAUGUUGUACACAUUUGGCUUGUGUUUACUGGAAGUUUUCUUUUAAUGUUUGCUUUACAGAACAGAUGGAAGAGAAGAUUGAGCUGAAUACUGUUAUGCUGACUUCUUUAACGUCUCUCAGAAUGCUCAUUUGCAGGAGUCUUGAUGCUUCUAAUCAGAAGCUCUUGUUUGCGAUAAAGCAUGGUUUUAGGUGCUGCAUAAAUCAAAUGAACUAAUAGACAUGUUAAGAAUAUCUUUUCCUUUUAACUUUUUUUUAGCGGCUGGUAGUUCGAGGGUCUUACACACUCAAGCAAGUUGUGCAGCGCAAUAAUUUGUUGCAAUCAGAUAUUCUGAAGUAUACACACACACACACACACACACACAUACUUAUUAUUUCCAUAUUCUAUUCACUACUGACAGUCUGAGGGAUAAUUUUUGGAUGGAAAGCUCAUGGAACGAAAAUGAACAGUCUUUUCUUGACCAUGAUCCUUGCAAGUACAUUAGAUGCCCAUGAAUGCUAAACUCAACUUUAGUUUGAUAAACCUCUUCUAUAAGUGCCCUGUGUGUGUUUUUCUAGAGAGAAAAUGAACAUAUUGUUGUAACUUGAUAUUUCCAAUGUGUUCAACAUUGAAACUUGC